RNAcentral lists this ribosomal RNA (408 nucleotides) under uncultured bacterium. Its description in RNAcentral is "partial 16S ribosomal RNA". It matches the Rfam family "Bacterial small subunit ribosomal RNA", at positions 28 to 526 of the family's 1533-position model. The record is from RNAcentral.
GACGAACGCUGGCGGCGUGCUUAACACAUGCAAGUCGAACGAAGUGGCGAACGGGUGAGUAACGCGUAAUCAACCUGCACUUCAGAGGGGGACAACAGUUGGCAACGACUGCUAAUACCGCAUACUGAAGGAGGGGAUUGCGUUUGAUUCGGUCGUUGGAGGGGUAACGGCCCACCAAGGCGAUGAUCAGUAGCCGGUCUGAGAGGAGGAACGGCCAACAUGGGACUGGGGCACGGCCCAGAGUCCUACGGGAGGGAGGAGGGGGGAAAUUUCGGCAAGGGGGGAAAGGCUGACGGAGGAAAGGCGCGGGGGUGAAGACGGCCUUCGGGUUGGAAAGCUCUGUUAAUCGGGAAGCGGUACCGGAAGAGAAAGCAACGGCUAACUACGUGCCAGCCGCCGCGGUAAUAC